RNAcentral lists this ribosomal RNA (253 nucleotides) under uncultured bacterium. Its description in RNAcentral is "partial 16S ribosomal RNA". It matches the Rfam family "Bacterial small subunit ribosomal RNA", at positions 524 to 776 of the family's 1533-position model. The record is from RNAcentral.
UACGUAGGGGGCAAGCGUUGUCCGGAUUUAUUGGGCGUAAAGAGCGUGUAGGCGGUUUGGUAGGUCCGUUGUGAAAACUCGAGGCUCAACCUCAAGACGCCGAUGGAAACCAUCAGACUAGAGUCCGGAAGAGGAGAGUGGAAUUCCUGGUGUAGCGGUGAAAUGCGCAGAUAUCAGGAAGAACACCCGUGGCUAAGGCGGCUCUCUAGUACGGUACUGACGCUGAGGAGCGAAAGCGUGGGGAGCGAACAGG